This 1302-nucleotide ribosomal RNA is filed under the name Triticum aestivum (bread wheat). RNAcentral's name for it is "partial small subunit ribosomal RNA". Lineage: Eukaryota; Viridiplantae; Streptophyta; Magnoliopsida; Poales; Poaceae. The record is from RNAcentral.
AUGGCUCCUCUCACUCCCAGGCUUGUAGUGCCCAUAGAUGUGAAGAAGAAGCCAUGGGAGCAGGAGGUUCCUCUCCACAACCGCUGGCACCCGGAUAUCCCUCCGGUCGCCGAUGUAACUCAAGGGGAAUUAUUCCGUGUUGAGAUGGUCGAUUGCACCGGAGGGCAGGUUAGAGAUGAUGACUCGGCGGAUGAUAUCAAAUCUCUGGAUUUCGCAGCGCCUCACUAUCUCAGCGGCCCCCUUAGAGUAGUUGAUGCCGAAGGGGUUCCGGCUUCACCUGGUGAUCUUCUGGCGGUGGAGAUAUGCAACCUCGGCCCGCUUCCUGGUGACGAGUGGGGUUAUACUGGAACAUUUGAAAGGGAGCAUGGAGGCGGGUUCUUAACUGACCACUUCCCGAGUGCAAGAAAAGCCAUUUGGUAUUUCGAAGGAAUUUACACGCACUCCCCUCAGAUACCAGGUGUUCGGUUUCCGGGGUUAACUCAUCCUGGUAUAGUGGGAACUGCACCGUCAGCUGAGCUUCUCAAUAUAUGGAACCAAAGGGAAAGAGAAUUGGUCGAGGCGGGUCAUGAAUCUCUGAAAUUGUGUCAAGUUCUACACCAGAGACCUCUUGCUAGCUUACCAACCUCCCACAACUGCUUACUUGGGAAGAUGCAAGAAGGGACUGCUGAAUGGGAAAAAAUUGCAAAUGAAGCAGCAAGAACGAUUCCUGGAAGAGAGAAUGGGGGUAACUGUGACAUAAAGAAUCUAAGCAGAGGUUCCAAAGUUUAUCUACCAGUAUUUGUUGAAGGAGCAAAUUUGAGUACUGGUGAUAUGCACUUCUCCCAAGGUGAUGGUGAAGUCUCAUUUUGCGGAGCAAUAGAAAUGAGUGGAUUCCUUGAGCUAAAGUGUGAAAUCAUAAGAGGUGGCAUGAAGGAAUACUUGACUCCUGUUGGUCCAACACCACUUCAUGUAAAUCCUAUCUUUGAGAUAGGUCCGGUGGAGCCACGUUUCUCGGAAUGGUUAGUCUUUGAGGGCAUCAGCGUGGAUGAGUCGGGGAAACAACAUUUCCUUGAUGCAUCAGUUGCCUACAAGCGUGCAGUUCUCAACGCCAUUGAGUACCUUUCUAGAUUUGGGUACUCCAAGGAGCAGGUCUAUAUUUUACUGUCAUGCUGUCCAUGUGAAGGUAGGAUAUCUGGAAUAGUAGACGCCCCUAAUGCAGUGGCGACACUUGCCAUCCCUACAGCGAUAUUCGACCAGGAUAUAAAGCCAAAACGCCUGGGGAAUGGACCAAAAUUGAGAAGAUUUCCGGAUGUUCUGAGAUGA